AACAUUAUCAACCUAUACAACUAAACACAACAUUAUCAACCUGCUACAACAUUAUCAACCUAUACAACUAAACACAACAUUACCAACCUGCUAAAACUCAACACAACAUUACCAACCUGCUACAACUAAAUACAACAUUAUCAACCUGCUACAACAUUAUCAACCUGUACAACUAAACACAACAUUAUCGACCUGCUACAACUAAACACAACAUUAUCGACCUGCUACAACUAAACACAACAUUACAACCUGCUACAACUAAACACAACAUUAUCGACCUGCUACAACUAAACACAACAUUAUCGACCUGCUACACAGAGAGGAACCAAGCAUAAAUGUCUUUUUCCAUUGAUUGAAAAUAGCUGUCACUGCAGGGGGAUGUUUGUAGCCAUCUUUUCAUUUUAUUUUCUCCUUCAUGUGGGAACAUCUAUAAUAUUAGACCCAUCUCUUUAUUCUCUUGAAUGACCUGUACAGACCAGGGUCUGUACCGACCCCGAGCUGGACUGAGGAGGUUUUAUACAGACCAGGGUCUGUACCGACCCCGAGCUGGACUGAGGAGGUUUUAUACAGACCAGGGUCUGUGAUCAACCAAGAUGGACUGAGGAGGUUUUAUACAGACCAGGAUCUGUACCGACCCAGAACUGAACUGAGGAGGUUUUAUACAGACCAGGGUCUGUACCGACCCAGAGCUGGACUGAGGAGGUUUUAUACAGACCAGGGUCUGUGAUCAACCAAGAUGGACUGAGGAGGUUUUAUACAGAUCAGGGUCUGUAUCGACCCCGAGCUGGACUGAGGAGGUUUUAUACAGACCAGGGUCUGGACUGAGAAGGUUUUAUACAGACCAGGGUCUGUACCGACCCAGAACUGGACUGAGGAGGUUUUAUACAGACCAGGGUCUGGACUGAGGAGGUUUUAUACAGACCAGGGUCUGUACCGACCCAGAACUGGACUGAGGAGGUUUUAUACAGACCAGGGUCUGUACCGACCCCGAGCUGCACUGAGGAGGUUUUAUACAGAACAGGGUCUGUACCGACCCCGAGCUGGACUGAGGAGGUUUUAUACAGACCAGGGUCUGUACCGAGCUGGACUGAGGAGGUUUUAUACAGACCAGGGUCUGUAUCAACCCCGAGCUGGACUGAGGAGGUUUUAUACAGACCAGGGUCUGUACCGACCCCGAGCUGGACUGAGGAGGUUUUAUACAGACCAGGGUCUGUAUCGACCCAGAGCUGGACUGAGGGGUUUUAUACAGACCAGGAGCUGGACUGAGGAGGUUUUAUACAGACCAGGGUCUGUACCGACCCAGAACUGGACUGAGGAGGUUUUAUACAGACCAGGGUCUGUACCGACCCAGAGCUGGACUGAGGAGGUUUUAUAUAGACCAGGGUCUGUGAUCAACCAAGAUGGACUGAGGAGGUUUUAUACAGACCAGGAUCUGUACCGACCCAGAACUGGACUGAGGAGGUUUUAUACAGACCAGGGUCUGUAUCGACCCAGAGCUGGACUGAGGAGGUUUUAUACAGACCAGGGUCUGUAUCGACCCAGAGCUGGACUGAGGAGGUUUUAUACAGACCAGGAUCUGUACCGAGCUGGACUGAGGAGGUUUUAUACAGACCAGGGUCUGUAUCGACCCAGAGCUGGACUGAGGGGUUUUAUACAGACCAGGGUCUGUACCGAGCUGGACUGAGGAGGUUUUAUACAGACCAGGGUCUGUACCGACCCAGAGCUGGACUGAGGAGGUUUUAUACAGACCAGGGUCUGUACCGAGCUGGACUGAGGAGGUUUUAUACAGACCAGGGUCUGUAUCAACCCCGAGCUGGACUGAGGAGGUUUUAUACAGACCAGGGUCUGUAUCGACCCCGAGCUGGACUGAGGAGGUUUUAUACAGACCAGGGUCUGUACCGAGCUGGACUGAGGGGUUUUAUACAGACCAGGGUCUGUACCGACCCAGAGCUGGACUGAGGAGGUUUUAUACCUGGUCUGUGUUCAACCAAGAUGGAAGAGGAACGACUCAAACAUCCGAAUCUUAGUGCCAAGGUUACCGUGGAAACAGAGGAGGGGAACUGAUUUGUCUAAGUAACUAAUAUUAAAACAUUAAAAAAAUAAGUGUUAUGUAAAGUUGUUAUUGUCUAUUUGUUGGAGCGUAAACAGAGAAACACCAGAUGGGACGAUGUGCGUUGUUGUCCUGUCAGGAGUGGAUUGAUUGAUUGAUUGAUUGAUUGAUUGAUUGAUUGAUUGAUUGAUUGAUUGAACUCUGGCUCCAAAGGUAAGGUAGGAGCAGAUGGUAGGGCGAGGCCUCUUCCUAUUGGAGGACCAACAGCCUAUUAUCUAUCAGUCCCACUACCACCCAGUACACCAACUACCCUGUAGAACCAUCAGUCCCACUACCACCCAGUACACCGACUACCCUGUAGAACCCAGCCUAGUACCCAUCAGUCCCACUACCACCCAGUACACUGACUACCCUGUAGAACCCAG
This 2475-nucleotide long non-coding RNA is filed under the name Salmo salar (Atlantic salmon). Its description in RNAcentral is "lncRNA (ENSSSAG00000110986.1)". The record is from RNAcentral. Lineage: Eukaryota; Metazoa; Chordata; Actinopteri; Salmoniformes; Salmonidae.